Molecule: unclassified non-coding RNA, 283 nt
Filed under: Hevea brasiliensis (rubber tree)
Lineage: Eukaryota; Viridiplantae; Streptophyta; Magnoliopsida; Malpighiales; Euphorbiaceae
Source: RNAcentral
UUUUUGGGUGCAAUUUUGACCAUGCAUUGAGAGGGAACAGUCACAGUUGCCAUCUUUACCCAGAACAGGAAAGGAUCAAAGUGGUGAAAAAGUUGAGAGGGGCAGUAAGGAUUAUAAAGUUGGCAAGCGGAAAAAAGGAGGUGGGUAAGAAUUUAUAGCUAAGAAGAGAAGGGAAGUCUAUCGAGAGUGAAAGAUCUGGUGGCUUUUGGAAUCUUUUAAAAGGCAUAGGCGGCCUGGCUCAGAAAGAUGCCCCUACGCUAAGGGCCAAAAACCUCCAUUUCUU